GCGCCAAAGUUGAAUUAAUAUACAACCUUUUUUAUAUAAAAAACUAUUGAAAAUGUGUUUCAAAGUUAAAUAAGUAAAUCAUUUUUAUCUCUUAUUUUGUUGUGAUCCAAAUUUUUAUCUCUUAGUUUAAGUCAAAUCAUCUUAAUUUUAUCUCUGAGUUUGGUAGUUUAGCCUUAUCUCUUGUAUAGUUGAAAAGUUUAAGGGACCAAAAUAGCUUAUGUUAAGGCUAUAUA
This 233-nucleotide long non-coding RNA is filed under the name Elaeis guineensis (African oil palm). Its description in RNAcentral is "long non-coding RNA (EGUI_LNC066230)". Lineage: Eukaryota; Viridiplantae; Streptophyta; Magnoliopsida; Arecales; Arecaceae. The record is from RNAcentral.